AACGCACAUUGCGCCCCCUGGCAUUCCGGGGGGCAUGCCUGUCCGAGCGUCAUUUCUGCCCUCAAGCACGGCUUGUGUGUUGGGUGUGGUCCCCCCGGGGACCUGCCCGAAAGGCAGCGGCGACGUCCGUCUGGUCCUCGAGCGUAUGGGGCUCUGUCACUCGCUCGGGAAGGACCUGCGGGGGUUGGUCACCACCACAUUUUACCACGGUUGACCUCGGAUCAGGUAGGAGUUACCCGCUGAACUUAA
RNAcentral lists this unclassified non-coding RNA (249 nucleotides) under uncultured Talaromyces. RNAcentral's name for it is "sequence contains ITS2". Lineage: Eukaryota; Fungi; Ascomycota; Eurotiomycetes; Eurotiales; Trichocomaceae. The record is from RNAcentral.